GUGGCUGUGUUUCUGCCUUGUUGCUUUGUAAGUGGUAUAACGUAACCAUAUCCAGGCACAUAGAUUAAAACAGGAUCCUGCCAACAGCGUCUGUCCAGUUAUCAGACUUACUGUGCAAUGGUUCCAUAAAUG
Molecule: small nucleolar RNA, 132 nt
Filed under: Crocodylus porosus (Australian saltwater crocodile)
Lineage: Eukaryota; Metazoa; Chordata; Crocodylia; Crocodylidae
Source: RNAcentral